This 96-nucleotide ribosomal RNA is filed under the name Hedyotis acutangula. Its description in RNAcentral is "5.8S ribosomal RNA". It matches the Rfam family "5.8S ribosomal RNA", at positions 9 to 104 of the family's 154-position model. Rfam says of the family: 5.8S ribosomal RNA (5.8S rRNA) is a component of the large subunit of the eukaryotic ribosome. It is transcribed by RNA polymerase I as part of the 45S precursor that also contains 18S and 28S rRNA. The record is from RNAcentral. Lineage: Eukaryota; Viridiplantae; Streptophyta; Magnoliopsida; Gentianales; Rubiaceae.
GCAACGGAUAUCUAGGCUCUCGCAUCGRUGAAGAACGUAGCGAARUGCGAUACUUGGUGUGAAUUGCAGAAUCCCGUGAACCAUCGAGUUUUUGAA